RNAcentral lists this ribosomal RNA (1235 nucleotides) under metagenome. Its description in RNAcentral is "bacterial LSU rRNA". It matches the Rfam family "Bacterial large subunit ribosomal RNA", at positions 1564 to 2808 of the family's 2925-position model. The record is from RNAcentral.
UGAGUACGAGAUGCUACGGCAUCGAAGCAGUCUAUGUCAUACUUCCAAGAAAAGCUUGCACUGUCAGAAACAGAUAAUGCCUGUACCAUAACCGACACAGGUGGGUAGGUAGAGUAUACUAAGGGGCGCGAGAUAACUCUCUCUAAGGAACUCGGCAAAAUGACUCCGUAACUUCGGGAGAAGGAGUGCCUUAUUUUUAAGGUUGCAAUAACAAGAUCCAAGUAACUGUUUACCAAAAACACAGGUCUCCGCUAAGUCGUAAGACGAUGUAUGGGGGCUGACGCCUGCCCAGUGCCAGAAGGUUAAAGAAGUCGGUUAGCAUUCGCGAAGCUGGUAACUGAAGCCCUGGUGAACGGCGGCCGUAACAAUAACGGUCCUAAGGUAGCGAAAUUCCUUGUCGGGUAAGUUCCGACCCGCACGAAAGGCGUAAUGAUUUGGAUACUGUCUCGGAGAGGGGCUCGGUGAAAUAGACUUGUCUGUGAAGAUGCGGACUACCUGCACCUGGACAGAAAGACCCUAUGAAGCUUUACUGUAACUUGAAAUUGAAAUUGGACUUUAUUUGCGCAGUAUAGGUGGGAGGCGUUGAAAAUAUUCUUGCGGGAAUAUUGGAGCCAUCAGUGAGAUACCACUCUUGUAAUGUUAGAUUUCUAGCUUUAUAUCAUUAUCUGGUUAAAGAACAGUUUCAGGCGGGCAGUUUGACUGGGGCGGUCGCCUCCCAAAUGGUAACGGAGGCGCACAAAGGUUUCCUCUGAACGGGUAGAAAUCGUAUCUAGAGUGUAAAGGCAUAACGAAGCUUGACUGUGAGACCUACAAGUCGAGCAGGGACGAAAGUCGGUCUUAGUGAUCUGACGGUGCUGAGUGGAAAGGCCGUCACUCAACGGAUAAAAGUUACUCUUAGGAUAACAGGCUGAUCUCCCCCAAGAGUUCACAUCGACGGGGAGGUUUGGCACCUCGAUGUCGGCUCAUCGCAUCCUGGGGCGGUAGUACGUCCCAAGGGUUGGGCUGUUCGCCCAUGAAAGCGGUACGCGAGCUGGGUUCAGAACGUCGUGAGACAGUUCGGUCCAUAUCCGGUGUAGGCGUUAGAAUAUUGAGAGGAGCCUUCUUUAGUACGAGAGGACCGAGAAGGACAUACCUCUGGUGUACCAGUUAUCGUGCCAACGGUAAACGCUGGGUAGCUAUGUAUGGAGUGGAUAACCGCUGAAAGCAUCUAAGUGGGAAGCCCACCUCAAGAUAAG